GGGAAGAGAGUGAUAAGGUAUCUGCUUGGCAUUCAGAAGGUCCCAGGUUCAAUCCCUGGCAUCCCCA
Molecule: transfer RNA, 67 nt
Filed under: Sphaerodactylus townsendi
Lineage: Eukaryota; Metazoa; Chordata; Lepidosauria; Squamata; Sphaerodactylidae
Description: tRNA-Ala
Source: RNAcentral